CAUUGAAAGUUCCCAAUUGCCCAAUCUAUCUUACUAUAUACCUGUUUAUUUGUCCAAGAAUAUCUCCAACCUUUUGAUCUGACAGGAGUAAGAUGCAGGUCAUAUAUCAGUUCUUUGAAAUCCUUUACCUCUGCAUCUGUUACAGGAGAUCCAAUUCUGUUCUCAGUUGAUAAGACAGCAUUGAAAUCUCCACUUAAUAACCAUGCAUCCUGGCUAGG
RNAcentral lists this long non-coding RNA (218 nucleotides) under Nicotiana benthamiana. RNAcentral describes it as "long non-coding RNA (NBEN_LNC000720)". Lineage: Eukaryota; Viridiplantae; Streptophyta; Magnoliopsida; Solanales; Solanaceae. The record is from RNAcentral.